Molecule: ribosomal RNA, 87 nt
Filed under: Acinetobacter pittii
Lineage: Bacteria; Pseudomonadati; Pseudomonadota; Gammaproteobacteria; Moraxellales; Moraxellaceae
Description: partial 16S ribosomal RNA
Rfam family: Bacterial small subunit ribosomal RNA
Source: RNAcentral
UUUAACUGAAGAGUUUGAUCAUGGCUCAGAUUGAACGCUGGCGGCAGGCUUAACACAUGCAAGUCGAGCGGAGAGAGGUAGCUUGCU